Molecule: transfer RNA, 64 nt
Filed under: Habroscelimorpha dorsalis venusta
Lineage: Eukaryota; Metazoa; Arthropoda; Insecta; Coleoptera; Carabidae
Also listed under: 1 other name
Description: tRNA-Ile
Source: RNAcentral
AAUGAAGUGCCUGACAAAAGGGUUAUUUUGAUAGAAUAAAUCAUGUAAAUUUUUACCUUCAUUA